RNAcentral lists this ribosomal RNA (497 nucleotides) under uncultured bacterium. RNAcentral describes it as "partial 16S ribosomal RNA". It matches the Rfam family "Bacterial small subunit ribosomal RNA", at positions 28 to 507 of the family's 1533-position model. The record is from RNAcentral.
GAUGAACGCUGGCGGCGUGCCUAAUACAUGCAAGUCGAGCGAACGGACGAGAAGCUUGCUUCUCUGAUGUUAGCGGCGGACGGGUGAGUAACACGUGGAUAACCUACCUAUAAGACUGGGAUAACUUCGGGAAACCGGAGCUAAUACCGGAUAAUAUUUUGAACCGCAUGGUUCAAAAGUGAAAGACGGUCUUGCUGUCACUUAUAGAUGGAUCCGCGCUGCAUUAGCUAGUUGGUAAGGUAACGGCUUACCAAGGCAACGAUGCAUAGCUGACCUGAGAGGGUGAUCGGCCACACUGGAACUGAGACACGGUCCAGACUCCUACGGGAGGCAGCAGUGGGGAAUCUUGCGCAAAGGGCGAAAGCCUGACGGAGCAACGCCGCGUGAGUGAUGAAGGUCUUCGGAUCGUAAAACUCUGUUAUUAGGGAAGAACAUAUGUGUAAGUAACUGUGCACAUCUUGACGGUACCUAAUCAGAAAGCAACGGCUAACUACGUG